Ochotona curzoniae (black-lipped pika) is the source of this 247-nucleotide long non-coding RNA. RefSeq lists it as uncharacterized. The transcript is spliced from 3 exons. The record is from RefSeq and is a predicted model, not a curated record. NCBI's taxonomy places the organism in Eukaryota, Metazoa, Chordata, Mammalia, Lagomorpha, Ochotonidae.
GAACAGAAACCAGGAUGGAGCACAUGUCAUGCUGAAUUGGGCUCUUACACUGAUAGGACACAGCAUCGAAGGCAAAGGCCAAGACAGGUUUUCAAUGAACUCUUGAGAUUGCUGAGAAAUCUCCAGAAAUCCAGCAUGUUUUCUCCUAGGAACAAACUUUAGCGCCUCUUCCCAAUUACCAGUGUUUUUCAGACAUAACAAAAUACGCAUCAUUUGAUCCAAGGCCACAAGCAGGGAGCUGGAUGGG